RNAcentral lists this ribosomal RNA (1171 nucleotides) under uncultured Bacteroides sp. Its description in RNAcentral is "bacterial SSU rRNA". It matches the Rfam family "Bacterial small subunit ribosomal RNA", at positions 10 to 1176 of the family's 1533-position model. The record is from RNAcentral. Lineage: Bacteria; Pseudomonadati; Bacteroidota; Bacteroidia; Bacteroidales; Bacteroidaceae.
AGUUUGAUCCUGGCUCAGGAUGAACGCUAGCUACAGGCUUAACACAUGCAAGUCGAGGGGCAGCAUGGUCUUAGCCUGCUAAGGCCGAUGGCGACCGGCGCACGGGUGAGUAACACGUAUCCAACCUGCCGUCUACUCUUGGACAGCCUUCUGAAAGGAAGAUUAAUACAAGAUGGCAUCAUGAGUCCGCAUGUUCACAUGAUUAAAGGUAUUCCGGUAGACGAUGGGGAUGCGUUCCAUUAGAUAGUAGGCGGGGUAACGGCCCACCUAGUCUUCGAUGGAUAGGGGUUCUGAGAGGAAGGUCCCCCACAUUGGAACUGAGACACGGUCCAAACUCCUACGGGAGGCAGCAGUGAGGAAUAUUGGUCAAUGGGCGAGAGCCUGAACCAGCCAAGUAGCGUGAAGGAUGACUGCCCUAUGGGUUGUAAACUUCUUUUAUAAAGGAAUAAAGUCGGGUAUGGAUACCCGUUUGCAUGUACUUUAUGAAUAAGGAUCGGCUAACUCCGUGCCAGCAGCCGCGGUAAUACGGAGGAUCCGAGCGUUAUCCGGAUUUAUUGGGUUUAAAGGGAGCGUAGAUGGAUGUUUAAGUCAGUUGUGAAAGUUUGCGGCUCAACCGUAAAAUUGCAGUUGAUACUGGAUAUCUUGAGUGCAGUUGAGGCAGGCGGAAUUCGUGGUGUAGCGGUGAAAUGCUUAGAUAUCACGAAGAACUCCGAUUGCGAAGGCAGCCUGCUAAGCUGCAACUGACAUUGAGGCUCGAAAGUGUGGGUAUCAAACAGGAUUAGAUACCCUGGUAGUCCACACGGUAAACGAUGAAUACUCGCUGUUUGCGAUAUACUGCAAGCGGCCAAGCGAAAGCGUUAAGUAUUCCACCUGGGGAGUACGCCGGCAACGGUGAAACUCAAAGGAAUUGACGGGGGCCCGCACAAGCGGAGGAACAUGUGGUUUAAUUCGAUGAUACGCGAGGAACCUUACCCGGGCUUAAAUUGCAGAUGAAUUACGGUGAAAGCCGUAAGCCGCAAGGCAUCUGUGAAGGUGCUGCAUGGUUGUCGUCAGCUCGUGCCGUGAGGUGUCGGCUUAAGUGCCAUAACGAGCGCAACCCUUGUUGUCAGUUACUAACAGGUUCCGCUGAGGACUCUGACAAGACUGCCAUSGUAAGAUGUGAGGAAGGUGG